AACUUUGCGCAGUGGCAGUAUCAUAACCAAUGAAGUUAAUCUGAGGUGUGAUUAUUGCUAGUUGAAAACUUUUCCCAAUAUCCUAACAAUAAGAAGGUCCUUCUUCUUGCACGGGAGGA
RNAcentral lists this small nuclear RNA (119 nucleotides) under Chelonoidis abingdonii (Abingdon island giant tortoise). Its description in RNAcentral is "U4 spliceosomal RNA (ENSCABG00000011075.1)". It matches the Rfam family "U4 spliceosomal RNA". Rfam says of the family: U4 small nuclear RNA (U4 snRNA) is a component of the major U2-dependent spliceosome. The structure of U4 snRNA from yeast and human has been reported. The record is from RNAcentral. Lineage: Eukaryota; Metazoa; Chordata; Testudines; Testudinidae.